AUUGAACGCUGGCGGCAGGCCUAACACAUGCAAGUCGAGCGGAUGAAGGGAGCUUGCUCCUGGAUUCAGCGGCGGACGGGUGAGUAAUGCCUAGGAAUCUGCCUGGCAGUGGGGGAUAACGUCCGGAAACGGGCGCUAAUACCGCAUACGUCCUGAGGGAGAAAGUGGGGGAUCUUCGGACCUCACGCUAUCAGAUGAGCCUAGGUCGGAUUAGCUAGUUGGUGGGGUAAAGGCCUACCAAGGCGACGAUCCGUAACUGGUCUGAGAGGAUGAUCAGUCACACUGGAACUGAGACACGGUCCAGACUCCUACGGGAGGCAGCAGUGUGGAAUGUUGGACAAUGGGCGAAAGCCUGAUCCAGCCAUGCCGCGUGUGUGAAGAAGGUCUUCGGAUUGUAAAGCACUUUAAGUUGUGAGGAAGGGCAGUAAGUUAAUACCUUGCUGUUUUGACGUUACCAACAGAAUAAGCACCGGCUAACUUCGUG
RNAcentral lists this ribosomal RNA (484 nucleotides) under uncultured bacterium. RNAcentral's name for it is "partial 16S ribosomal RNA". It matches the Rfam family "Bacterial small subunit ribosomal RNA", at positions 30 to 507 of the family's 1533-position model. The record is from RNAcentral.